This 253-nucleotide ribosomal RNA is filed under the name uncultured bacterium. RNAcentral describes it as "partial 16S ribosomal RNA". It matches the Rfam family "Bacterial small subunit ribosomal RNA", at positions 524 to 776 of the family's 1533-position model. The record is from RNAcentral.
UACGGAGGGAGCUAGCGUUGUUCGGAAUUACUGGGCGUAAAGCGCGCGUAGGCGGUUUUUUAAGUCAGUGGUGAAAGCCCGGGGCUCAACCCCGGAAUAGCCUUUGAAACUGGAAAACUUGAAUCUUGGAGAGGUCAGUGGAAUUCCGAGUGUAGAGGUGAAAUUCGUAGAUAUUCGGAAGAACACCAGUGGCGAAGGCGACUGAGUGGACAAGUAUUGAUACUGAGGUGCGAAAGCGUGGGGAGCAAACAGG